This 4168-nucleotide long non-coding RNA is filed under the name Leguminivora glycinivorella. RNAcentral's name for it is "uncharacterized LOC125229006, transcript variant X1". The record is from RNAcentral. Lineage: Eukaryota; Metazoa; Arthropoda; Insecta; Lepidoptera; Tortricidae.
AAUAAAAUUUCAUUCUCCUUAAUAAAGUAAUAAAUUUAGGAAUGCAAGGCGUAGGUUACGCCUUCUACCGCCCUCUGUCGGAAAUCGGCAGGAAGUCAUCGACCGUGAGCUGUCUGAUCCUGGAUCGGCCUUCCUCGCCAUCUAGCGUGGGAUAGCCGCACUCUUGUAUUCCUCUAUGGACUUACGUGGAUCAUAGUUGCCAUGUUGAAAAAUAGAAGUAAAUCGUCAUCGAGCGUUUGCCUUCCUUCCUUUUAUUCGUAACCAGACUUAAUUAUGGGUUUUUUUAAGCUCCGCGUUAAUCGCGAAGAGUUUAGUAUUAUAUUUUAUUGUUGACUUAAUUUCCAUUGAACGUCCGGAGCCGGCUGUUUGCGGUGUGAGCCGAUUUAGGCUUGGCAACACUAGUCCCGUCCAAAAUGGCGAAUGAGAUGGGAUUUCUUUUUGCCGGAGAGAGAGUUGAAGGGAUAUCGUUGGCCCAGGCCAAAAUCGGGCGCAAUCGCCCGUUUGAGUGAGUUUCAAUAGUGAUUCGGUUGUGUAUUUCUUUUUAGUUGGUUAGUUUCUAACGAAGCGUUGCAUAUUUUCCAGCCCCGGAAUCGGACGUGAAUAAAACCAUGUUCUGAUGGUGAUAGGCGACGCCCAGCGUGCCCGGAUGUCGAAAUAGGUGCAAUUUUGCCCUCUGCUGGCCCUUUCUCCAUCAACGGGUUCACGCCGCGUCGCCUAAACCUCGCGCCGGCCGCGAGAGGUUCCCCUGGUAUCCCGGUAACUUGUGGGCAGCAGAUUGCUGCUGUUCUACCUACUCCCGACGUUUCACCCCAAGGCUGCUGACGUGGCAGUUGUGGUGUUUCGAGGUCAGAUCUUUCCACGUUUACUUAUUGACUGAAUGAACCGGCCUUUCGGUUCUGGCGCCCUUCCGUGUAACUACCUUAAUAUAUAUUGACCGCUGUAUCCGUUUCUACCAGUAAUGAUAAUUUAGAGCCCGCUGACCCACGUUUGUUCCCUUAAAAUAUAAACUCAACAUUAUUGUUCUCGUGAGCUAGCCCUCGGCAAACAAUUGUUACCGUGUAUCUAGGAUAACAAAUUAGCAUAAUCAAUUUAGAUUUUUUUUCCUGAAUUCAAUAAAUACCUGGUUCCUCUUCAACUGUUGUUUGAUUUUUUUUUAUUUUGGCGUUAGCUAAAGGAAACCCCCCAUAAAAUUAAAUAUCGUAACAGUGUCAGCCCAUCGUGGGGCGUUAUAUCAGCGAGCCUCUUUAGUCACAUUGUUAGCUAGAGGAAUUUCUGGUAGAAACGGUGCGGCUUGUAUAAUUGUAAUUAAGUAGGUACUUUUGUUUUUUUUUAAUUCUAAGUAUUUGUGUGUCAUUGUAGCUGCAAGUACCUCUUAAUAGUUGUGCGGAAUUAUUUCCGAUAAUAUUUUCAGUGUUUGGAAAGAUAGUUUUUUUUUUAAAUGCUUACUACUAAUUACAGACAUUACUAUUUGUAUAAAUAAUUUUAUUCUUUUAUGGGUUACCGGGACCCAGUGUGGAGUUGUAACAAUUUUAUUUCUAUUUUUUUUUAUAUUUAGAGAUUGUAUGCAUUUUGGGUAACCAUAACUAAGGUGCCUUAAUGUUAACGGACGGUUGUGUAAAGAAAAAGUGUUACGUUUUAAAUUUAAAAGUUGAUAAUGUUAUUAUUCUCCCUUCGUGGGAGGUUACAGUAAUUAUUAGUAGCGGUUAUAAUUUAUUACAUAAAUAUGAGUUUGAAUAUCAUGUGGCAAUGGCCACCUUACUAUAAAUAUUUCGGUAACUACUUACAGUGUUUAAAAUUUGCAUGUACUAUUUACUGUAUCAUUUGAUACAGGAUGUCUUUUCAUAUUGGACUGUGAAGACUUCAAAUAUAUAAAUUUUUUUUUAACUUUGAAACAUUAUGGUUAACGUUGGAUGUUGAAUAGUUAGAAAAGGUGCAUCGUUUUGAGAUGGACAGUUAUGCAGAGGUGUUAAACCUUAUAAUUUAAGUUAACUUUAUUAAAAUUUUAUUCCCUUAGGGAAAGUUUUUGUACUUAUAAGUAGGUAGCUAAAUAAGUAUGCACCUCAUGAUAAGUGUAAUGGGGGAACAACGUCGGUCAGCGGAGCAUUUUUUUUUUUUAAUAUUAUUUUCUGGCGGAGAUUUAAAUUUAAAAUAAAAUUAAUAUUAUGUUAUUACUAAUGGGUGGUGCAGUGUGUGUAUAGUCAGGCACAUUUAUUGCUGAGGCGUUUCUUAACUUUUUUUAAUUCAUAAAAUAUAAAGUUGAAUCUUAUCUUGGAGUUCAAAGGCCAAAUAAACUGAGAGUUAUUUGGUACUUAUUUCUUUUGCUUUUUCCCUUUUUCUCGACUUAAAUCGAGAUUAUUUUUUUACCUUUAGCGACGUCGGUUACUGGCUUACCAGUUUAUCGGUGAUGGUGUUGUGUGUUUGUCUCGAUGGAGGCAGGCGUUUUUCCUUUUAUGUGUUGUGAGUGGGAGUUCUUACGUUGUGUCCAGAUGGUACGGUUACGUCUGUACACAAACGUAUUACCUUUUGAUGUUUGGUGGUGAGUGAACGAUUUAAAAGUUCUCUUCACGUAGUUUUCUGGGUGCUGGCGUUUUAAACCAGCAUUCCAGCUUCACUGGCUGGUCGGAUUCUUGCGGAUUUAAACGGAGAAUUCUUAAUAGCAGUGUUGUACCCUUGUUGACGCUUUGCGGUAUGGCUUAAAUCAUAUGCGUGAACGUUGACGUUCUUUUGUGUUGUCGGACCGACAGACUUGCGUCGCCUGAGACGUGGUUUGUACAGUCAACCUUUGUAUGUCUUAUGUUGUGUCGAAACGUUCCGUCCUGUGUCGUAGAUAGACGCAGCCGGUAGAUACGCUUCGUUGUCCUGGUGUUAUUGUCUGAUUUUCGUAUUCUUAGCUGUCACCGAUAUUAGUUAGGGAAAUUUCAUUUAGCUAUAAGCCGUCUUCCGUUAUAUCGCUUGGACGUACAGCCCGCUGUCUGGUACAGCUCGCUGUGCCGCCAAGAAAUAUAGACGAUGCGACGUUUUGUAGUAAUUUACUUAAAAAAAAAAAAAAAAAAAGGUAUUCUUAUCUGGUUUAGUGCGUGGGUUCGAUUUUGAUGGUUUUUUUUAUUAUCGAUUUUAGAUUUCGAGUUGUAGCUGUUAUAUUACCGUUAUUUCCUGUAGUUGGAGCUGGAGACCAGCUCAAAAUUUUGCCUACGUCAAAAUUUUCUCUGGGGAAGGGAGUAUUGUAACAAUAAAAUUUCAUUCUCCUUAAUAAAGUAAUAAAUUUAGGAAUGCAAGGCGUAGGUUACGCCUUCUACCGCCCUCUGUCGGAAAUCGGCAGGAAGUCAUCGACCGUGAGCUGUCUGAUCCUGGAUCGGCCUUCCUCGCCAUCUAGCGUGGGAUAGCCGCACUCUUGUAUUCCUCUAUGGACUUACGUGGAUCAUAGUUGCCAUGUUGAAAAAUAGAAGUAAAUCGUCAUCGAGCGUUUGCCUUCCUUCCUUUUAUUCGUAACCAGACUUAAUUAUGGGUUUUUUUUAAGCUCCGCGUUAAUCGCGAAGAGUUUAGUAUUAUAUUUUAUUGUUGACUUAAUUUCCAUUGAACGUCCGGAGCCGGCUGUUUGCGGUGUGAGCCGAUUUAGGCUUGGCAACACUAGUCCCGUCCAAAAUGGCGAAUGAGAUGGGAUUUCUUUUUGCCGGAGAGAGAGUUGAAGGGAUAUCGUUGGCCCAGGCCAAAAUCGGGCGCAAUCGCCCGUUUGAGUGAGUUUCAAUAGUGAUUCGGUUGUGUAUUUCUUUUUAGUUGGUUAGUUUCUAACGAAGCGUUGCAUAUUUUCCAGCCCCGGAAUCGGACGUGAAUAAAACCAUGUUCUGAUGGUGAUAGGCGACGCCCAGCGUGCCCGGAUGUCGAAAUAGGUGCAAUUUUGCCCUCUGCUGGCCCUUUCUCCAUCAACGGGUUCACGCCGCGUCGCCUAAACCUCGCGCCGGCCGCGAGAGGUUCCCCUGGUAUCCCGGUAACUUGUGGGCAGCAGAUUGCUGCUGUUCUACCUACUCCCGACGUUUCACCCCAAGGCUGCUGACGUGGCAGUUGUGGUGUUUCGAGGUCAGAUCUUUCCACGUUUACUUAUUGACUGAAUGAACCGGCCUUUCGGUUCUGGCGCCCUUCCGUGUAACUACCUUAAUAUAUAUUGACCGCU